RNAcentral lists this non-coding RNA (28 nucleotides) under Mus musculus (house mouse). The record is from RNAcentral. Lineage: Eukaryota; Metazoa; Chordata; Mammalia; Rodentia; Muridae.
UAACAGAAGCCAUGGUAUUUUGGUGGGU